AUAUCAGGGCAAAUGAAUGUGGAUUCUUAAUUCAAUCCCAUACAUAAUUACUAUGUGGUAUUUCUGUGCAAGACAUUUUAACCAAAAAACUGUUAAUGUGUGGCACAGAAAAAAAAAGGGGGAAGUUUUAAGAAAACUUUAUGUCACUGAAACUGUGUAUAAUUAUGAAAUAUGAGGCCACUCAAUCACCCUAUUCAACAUGUAUCCAUUUUUCAUUCUGUGCCAGGGGGUAUUGGAUCUUUAGGAGAAGAAAGAACAUCUAGUGGUCCAUAAGCAAAUAAUGAAAUGACCAUGGGGAAUGAAAGUCCACAUGACAAGGGAAAUGGAGGGAUGUAGUAAAGAGGAUAAAAGAGGAAAGAAGAACCUUUCAUCCCCAAUAGAGACAAAAACAAAAAGAAUUCACGAGGACAAGGAAGCCUGCUUCUGCCCCUUGAAACAGGUCCUGAUGGCUUAUGAUCCCAGUUAAGCAAUAUCGAGGCAACUGCAAGAGUCUUCCUAGAGUCUGAGACUUUUUAUACUCUCACUAUUCCUCAUUCCUCCUAACUCAUGUGGUGAUGAACGGCACUUUGUGUACUUAUGGCUCCUGGGAUGAGGUUACUGUGCAAUGUUGACAACAAACUGAAGCCCCAAGAGUGCAGCAGGUGUCUUCAUUGUGACUUCAAAUGCUAGAACUAGCAUCCCUGGGAGGAACCAACAGCUGCCAGAUUUCAGCUUUAGGAGUCCAGAGGAAAUGGGAAGGCAAGCUGUAUGCCUAGUAUUUACAUCCUUUCGUGUCAUUUAUGUGGGAAAGCCAAGAGCAGAAUUUGCCAACCAUCAGAAACCAAACAAGCCCCACAAAACACCUAGCCUUAGAGAGAGGAAUCGGGUUAAUCAGCGAAAAGCAUUGCCGGAGAAAAGGAGAGACAAACUGACUGAGAAGUUUGGGAGAAAGAAGGAGGCCUACAAGUCAGCUCCAGCUCUGCUAUGCCUGACCUGAAUGCAAGAUGCCACAUCUGACUGCUCUGAGUGGCCUGAGGAAGGUCUGCCAUUGUCCAGCUGUGCCAUGACUGAGGACACCUGAUUAGAAGCCAGUGCUACCCCUCACCCGGCCUUCCAACUGAUGCCUCAGACUGAUCUGGCUCUCAGCAUCCAUCGUGACCGGGGCUCUGAAUCCACCUUUCAGUGCCCAAUGUCACCAGCAACUCCCAAGUGCUGCCUAUACUUUCCAAGACAUCAGCCCGGGAUCUAGAGGUAUCAUACGCAGUUCUACGCACACAUAAUUUGCGUUGGUAUUUCUCUCCCCACGUGCCUUUUGCUAUUGUAGCUUCUCUCAGAUACACAGUGUUUGUUCUAAAAGACUCCAUGUCCUGAAUUACUUCCUUGCCCUCUUUACAAGGUCAAAACCAGCUGUUGGGAGUUAGUCAUUCCUUUCAUUAACACUUGGGUCUGGAGGCCGCCUGGGUGACUCAGUCGUUAAGUGGCUGCCUUUAGCUCAGGUCAUGAUCCUAGGGUCCUGGGUUCA
Long non-coding RNA from Mustela erminea (ermine), 1501 nucleotides. RefSeq lists it as uncharacterized. The record is from RefSeq and is a predicted model, not a curated record. The transcript is spliced from 4 exons. NCBI's taxonomy places the organism in Eukaryota, Metazoa, Chordata, Mammalia, Carnivora, Mustelidae.